GUGAAUCAUCGAAUUUUUGAACGCAAAUUGCACUCUCCGGUUUUCCGGGAGAGUAUGCCUGUUUGAGGGUCGGCCUAAAUAAAAUCGGCCUAGUAGUUUGCUGUGUUUUUCACGGUAACGUUGGUCGGAAUUUGGGUCAUCUUAAACCUUUCGGGGUUGUAAGCGACCUAAAAUUUCUCUUACGAUUUCUACGAACGUGUCUAAGAAUUUCUUGUACGUUCAAGGUAUCGAUAUUAGACGUGACCGUCGUAUCGGAUCGCGUCCAUAAUAAUUUCUUUAACUGACCUCAGACAGGUAAGAG
This 301-nucleotide unclassified non-coding RNA is filed under the name Glomus sp. RNAcentral's name for it is "partial contains 5.8S ribosomal RNA and internal transcribed spacer 2". The stretch from base 1 to 72 matches the Rfam family "5.8S ribosomal RNA", at positions 84 to 154 of the family's 154-position model. The record is from RNAcentral. Lineage: Eukaryota; Fungi; Glomeromycota; Glomeromycetes; Glomerales; Glomeraceae.